AAGACCCUGGGGACGAGGUUGCCAACUCCUAAGACACUGCAAACGACUUGCGUGAACACUUGCUAAUGGCGAAACUUCGCUGCAAAUAUAGCAAUAUAAAGCACAACACCGCUUUUAAAAUGCCAACGAAAGCUAAAAGAGAAUCGUGGGUGAAAAAAGACUGAAGAAAUACAAAGUAAAUGCUGGUACUGGUAGGAGAGCGCAUUUCUUUCAAACAAAAAUCAAGCAAGACAUUGCAGUGCAUGCAAAACGGACGCUUGUCUAUGUGUGACUGAAAAUCAUAAAUUCUGGGACAGAGGAUCCGAUGUUUCAUGAUGAUGGUGAAUUUCUCUUUCAUCAAACUUAAUUAGAAAAAGAAGAAGUCAGGGGAAAAAGUGAAGUGGCGCUUUUCAAGUUUUCGUGGCCUUCGAUACUAGGGACUUUAAGAACCGAGAACGCGGCGGGUCUAGGACGCGACCGGAAGUGUUUUUUUCACAUUUUGCCCAACAGCGCAUGCGCAUGAAGUUCUCUCUUCUUGGCGGGAACGCGACGAAUCGAGUUUUGAAGUGCUGUAGAAAACCAGGUGUGUUCAACCAUGGCAUCAAACGUGCGAGAUGCAAAGGACAAACCUUUAAACAAUGUGAUCAUGUACUGGUCGACUGUCACAGACAAAGAAGAGAGAUUUCAGAGAGGGUGAUGUGGAUGUAAAACCUAAGCGACAAAGAAGGAAGGGAGGAGAUGCAAUUGAGUUUUUGAAAGAGAGAGCUGACAAAAACAGUGAACUUAGAGAAAAGGAGCUCAACAU
Long non-coding RNA from Nematostella vectensis (starlet sea anemone), 784 nucleotides. RefSeq lists it as uncharacterized. The record is from RefSeq and is a predicted model, not a curated record. The transcript is spliced from 3 exons. Lineage: Eukaryota; Metazoa; Cnidaria; Anthozoa; Actiniaria; Edwardsiidae.